UACAUAGGGUGCAAACGUUGCUCGGAAUUAUUGGGCGUAAAGCGCACGUAGGCGGUUCGUUAAGUCGGAUGUGAAAGCCCUCGGCUCAACUGAGGAAGUGCACCCGAAACUGGCGAGCUUGAGUACGAAAGAGGAUCGCGGAAUUCCCGGUGUAGAGGUGAAAUUCGUAGAUAUCAGGAGGAACACCGAUGGCGAAGGCAGGUCUCUGGGCUGACACUGACGCUCAUGCACGAAAGCGUGGGGAGCAAACAGG
Molecule: ribosomal RNA, 253 nt
Filed under: uncultured bacterium
Lineage: Bacteria
Description: partial 16S ribosomal RNA
Rfam family: Bacterial small subunit ribosomal RNA
Source: RNAcentral